Molecule: ribosomal RNA, 491 nt
Filed under: uncultured bacterium
Lineage: Bacteria
Description: bacterial SSU rRNA
Rfam family: Bacterial small subunit ribosomal RNA
Source: RNAcentral
AGUGAACGCUGGCGGCAGGCCUAAUACAUGCAAGUCGAACGGCAGCACAGCAGAGCUUGCUCUGUGGGUGGCGAGUGGCGGACGGGUGAGGAAUACAUGGGAAUCUGCCCAGUCGUGGGGGAUAACGUAUGGAAACGUACGCUAAUACCGCAUGCGCCCUAAGGGGGAAAGCCGGGGACCGCAAGGCCUGGCGCGAUUGGAUGAGCCCAUGUUCGAUUAGCUAGUUGGCGGGGUAAAGGCCCACCAAGGCGACGAUCGAUAGCUGGUCUGAGAGGAUGAUCAGCCACACUGGAACUGAGACACGGUCCAGACUCCUACGGGAGGCAGCAGUAGGGAAUAUUGGACAAUGGGGGCAACCCUGAUCCAGCCAUGCCGCGUGAGUGAAGAAGGCCCUCGGGUUGUAAAGCUCUUUUGUCCGGAAAGAAAAGCAAUCGGUUAAUACCCGGUUGUUCUGACGGUACCGGAGAAUAAGCACCGGCUAACUUCGUGCC